RNAcentral lists this ribosomal RNA (253 nucleotides) under uncultured bacterium. RNAcentral's name for it is "partial 16S ribosomal RNA". It matches the Rfam family "Bacterial small subunit ribosomal RNA", at positions 524 to 776 of the family's 1533-position model. The record is from RNAcentral.
UACAGAGGUCUCAAGCGUUGUUCGGAUUCAUUGGGCGUAAAGGGUGCGUAGGCGGGCCCUUAAGUCAGUGGUGAAAGCUCCGAGCUUAACUCGGAAACUGCCAUUGAUACUAUAGGUCUUGAAUUCGGUCGAGGUUGGCGGAAUGUGUCGUGUAGCGGUGAAAUGCUUAGAUAUGACACAGAACACCGAUUGCGAAGGCAGCUAGCUAGACCGACAUUGACGCUGAGGCACGAAAGCGUGGGGAUCAAACAGG